AACUAACGCUAUAUAAGUAUCAGUUUCUGUACUUUAUUGGUAUGCGAAACUUCCAAAGUCUCUGCUUUGGCAAUAUUUUGGGAGCGCGGAAGCGCUGC
Molecule: unclassified non-coding RNA, 98 nt
Filed under: Leptomonas barvae
Lineage: Eukaryota; Euglenozoa; Kinetoplastea; Trypanosomatida; Trypanosomatidae
Description: trans-spliced leader sequence
Source: RNAcentral